CAAACCACCCGGGGAACAGUGUCACCUCGCAGGGCCUGAGCCGCCACUGGGGAACCCUUGACAUAGCUGAGGAGUUUCAACAGAGGCUUGGCCAGGCCUCCGCUGUCCUGACUCUGCCCUGGUGUCCUAUAUUGGUCUAGAUGGAGCUUGGGACCACGGCUGCCAGGAAACGCUCAGCGGGGAGGCGGAGGGAAGGAAGGGCUCCUGCACCAGCAGCACAGAAAAGCAGCACCGAUGGUCCAGCCGGAGGGGCCUCAGCGAACACACGGUCCAGCUGCG
RNAcentral lists this long non-coding RNA (279 nucleotides) under Homo sapiens (human). RNAcentral's name for it is "HSALNT0157374". Lineage: Eukaryota; Metazoa; Chordata; Mammalia; Primates; Hominidae. The record is from RNAcentral.